CAGAACAAUCGAGCAGGUACUCGGCUGGCUUACCCCCGCCCCGCCCACGCUCACUGCUAGUCGCUAGCCCGUGUCCACCGACAGUGCCGCUACGGUCAGCCUCGUGCAGCUUGUACCCCGCCGCUGCCGCCUGACGCCCCGCGCGGACCGGGGUUCUGGGGGAGACCCUCAUCUAUACUAUCUGAGUGCAGAUUGGUCGAGGCUGGGACUGGCGAAGAUUGCCGAAAGGCGACGGGGAGGAGGAGGAUGUCAUCGCUGGAGUGAGCAAGCAGAUCUCGCGGGAGGAAAUGUCGCGAGAUCUCAGCAGCCCUGCAACCGCCGAAGAAAGGUUACUUUUCCCGGAAGUAACGUCAGUGGAAACGCCCAAGAUCCUGGGAAUAAGCUUGUUCUUGCCGGUGGGAGGGGCUACUUGGUAUUCUCUCUGAAGUUUUCUCCAGGUAGUGGGCCUACCCUGAAACCAGCUUGGGCAGGGGCGAGUCCUUGUACGUGCCAACUUGGAGACAUCUCCUAUUCGUCUUCCCGACGACGCUGUCCACCUUGGGCGCAAGGUUGUUGGCGCAGAGGCGCUUUCACCUUCCAUACACUUUGCUUUUCCCCGAUGGGACCGAGUCUCUCUCUAGCUCAGGCUAGCAUCAAGCUCGGGGAAAGUCUCCUGCCUCAGCAUCCCGAGUACUGACUGAUGUUGCUGUCUUCUGUACUUAAUCCACUCGUUUCCAAGACGUACAAGGAAUUGUUGGACUUCACCCUUUCGUUUUCUGCAAGAAUCACUUGUCGGUUUAAUAUUAUCUGUUUUGUCUGUACUGUGCCUUGAGUAACUCACUCCAUUUGGGUCCAAGUUGCAUCCUUUGAAACUGAUCUGCUUAAAUUAAAGACUAGAAAAAAAAAGAA
Long non-coding RNA from Grammomys surdaster, 888 nucleotides. RefSeq lists it as uncharacterized. The transcript is spliced from 2 exons. The record is from RefSeq and is a predicted model, not a curated record. Lineage: Eukaryota; Metazoa; Chordata; Mammalia; Rodentia; Muridae.